GGGUGAGUAAUGCCUAGGAAUCUGCCUAUUAGUGGGGGACAACGUUUCGAAAGGAACGCUAAUACCGCAUACGUCCUACGGGAGAAAGCAGGGGACCUUCGGGCCUUGCGCUAAUAGAUGAGCCUAGGUCGGAUUAGCUAGUUGGUGAGGUAAUGGCUCACCAAGGCGACGAUCCGUAACUGGUCUGAGAGGAUGAUCAGUCACACUGGAACUGAGACACGGUCCAGACUCCUACGGGAGGCAGCAGUGGGGAAUAUUGGACAAUGGGCGAAAGCCUGAUCCAGCCAUGCCGCGUGUGUGAAGAAGGUCUUCGGAUUGUAAAGCACUUUAAGUUGGGAGGAAGGGUUGUAGAUUAAUACUCUGCAAUUUUGACGUUACCGACAGAAUAAGCACCGGCUAACUCUGUGCCAGCAGCCGCGGUAAUACAGAGGGUGCAAGCGUUAAUCGGAAUUACUGGGCGUAAAGCGCGCGUAGGUGGUUCGUUAAGUUGGAUGUGAAAUCCCCGGGCUCAACCUGGG
RNAcentral lists this ribosomal RNA (518 nucleotides) under Pseudomonas fulva. RNAcentral describes it as "bacterial SSU rRNA". It matches the Rfam family "Bacterial small subunit ribosomal RNA", at positions 104 to 618 of the family's 1533-position model. The record is from RNAcentral. Lineage: Bacteria; Pseudomonadati; Pseudomonadota; Gammaproteobacteria; Pseudomonadales; Pseudomonadaceae.